UACAGAGGAUGCAAGCGUUAUCCGGAAUGAUUGGGCGUAAAGCGUCUGUAGGUGGCUUUUUAAGUCCGCCGUCAAAUCCCAGGGCUCAACUCUGGACAGGCGGUGGAAACUACCAAGCUGGAGUACGGUAGGGGCAGAGGGAAUUUCCGGUGGAGCGGUGAAAUGCGCAGAUAUCAGGAAGAACACCCGUGGCUAAGGCGGCUCUCUAGUACGGUACUGACGCUGAGACGCGAAAGCGUGGGGAGCGAACAGG
Molecule: ribosomal RNA, 253 nt
Filed under: uncultured bacterium
Lineage: Bacteria
Description: partial 16S ribosomal RNA
Rfam family: Bacterial small subunit ribosomal RNA
Source: RNAcentral